RNAcentral lists this ribosomal RNA (497 nucleotides) under uncultured bacterium. RNAcentral describes it as "partial 16S ribosomal RNA". It matches the Rfam family "Bacterial small subunit ribosomal RNA", at positions 28 to 507 of the family's 1533-position model. The record is from RNAcentral.
GAUGAACGCUGGCGGCGUGCCUAAUACAUGCAAGUCGAGCGAACAGAUAAGGAGCUUGCUCCUUUGACGUUAGCGGCGGACGGGUGAGUAACACGUGGGUAACCUACCUAUAAGACUGGGAUAACUUCGGGAAACCGGAGCUAAUACCGGAUAAUAUUUCGAACCGCAUGGUUCGAUAGUGAAAGAUGGUUUUGCUAUCACUUAUAGAUGGACCCGCGCCGUAUUAGCUAGUUGGUAAGGUAACGGCUUACCAAGGCAACGAUACGUAGCCGACCUGAGAGGGUGAUCGGCCACACUGGAACUGAGACACGGUCCAGAGUCCUACGGGAGGCAGCAGUAGGGAAUCUUGCGCAAUGGGCGAAAGCCUGACGGAGCAACGCCGCGUGAGUGAUGAAGGUCUUCGGGUCGUAAAGCUCUGUUAUUAGGGAAGAACAGACGUUUAAGUAACUGUGCACGUCUUGACGGUACCUAAUCAGAAAGCCACGGCUAACUACGUG